GAUGAACGCUAGCUACAGGCUUAACACAUGCAAGUCGAGGGGAAACGACAUCGAAAGCUUGCUUUUGAUGGGCGUCGACCGGCGCACGGGUGAGUAACGCGUAUCCAACCUGCCCACCACUUGGGGAUAACCUUGCGAAAGUAAGACUAAUACCCAAUGACGUCUCUAGAAGACAUCUGAAGGAGAUUAAAGAUUUAUCGGUGAUGGAUGGGGAAGCGUCUGAUUAGCUUGUUGGCGGGGUAACGGCCCACCAAGGCGACGAUCAGUAGGGGUUCUGAGAGGAAGGUCCCCCACAUUGGAACUGAGACUCGGUCCAAACUCCUACGGGAGGCAGCAGUGAGGAAUAUUGGUCAAUGGGCGAGAGCCUGAACCAGCCAAGUAGCGUGCAGGAUGACGGCCCUGUGGGUUGUAAACUGCUUUUAUAAGGGAAUAAAGUGAGUCUCGUGAGACUUUUUGCAUGUACCUUAUGAAUAAGGACCGGCUAAUUCCGUGCCAGCAGCCGCCGUAA
RNAcentral lists this ribosomal RNA (508 nucleotides) under uncultured bacterium. RNAcentral's name for it is "partial 16S ribosomal RNA". It matches the Rfam family "Bacterial small subunit ribosomal RNA", at positions 28 to 523 of the family's 1533-position model. The record is from RNAcentral.